RNAcentral lists this long non-coding RNA (2160 nucleotides) under Triticum aestivum (bread wheat). RNAcentral's name for it is "long non-coding RNA (TAES_LNC007247)". Lineage: Eukaryota; Viridiplantae; Streptophyta; Magnoliopsida; Poales; Poaceae. The record is from RNAcentral.
AAUUCUAAAAGAACAUUGCAACACGGUAUUAAGUCAAGAUUUUGCAACCGAGAGGGAAAGUCAAAUAAAUAAAUAUAGCUAUGUUCAAACCAAAAUAGCAUGUCAGACAUGAAAUGUUCUGUUGCCCCUACAUUCUCGCCGAUAAUUAAUUGUGCUUUAACAAAUAAAAAAGGGGAAUAAUAUAAAGAAUUAUUCUGUUUAAAAGAGCAGGUGAGAAAGAUACACAGCCUUAGCGAUUUUUGCUCUUCUCCAUUUGGAUGUUUUCUUGUAAACCAUUGCACCACCUUGGAGCCCUUCACUCCUAACGUCUGGCUAUAUGUUCAGGAAAAAAACAAAUAUAUAGCAAACAUAAAUAUUGGAAAUUAUAGCCUAUAUAAAAAAGCAUAAAUUAGUUGAUAGCCUAGAAUGAAGAAUGGAUGGAAACCUUAAAGCUAGCUACAUCAAGUACUUAAUAAUAAACAAACAGACUGAACUGAUCUACUCGGACGAAUGGCGGAGAGCAGUAAGCAGCUUGCCUAAACAAUCAAACCUCUGCAAUGGUUAUUUGUGGAACUAUGGAAUUGUAUUCCUUUGUUGUUUACUAAUUGGAUUUCUUAUUGCCUAAAGAAGUUUGAUUGUUUUUGUUUACUUAGCUUUUCAAUCUAUAGCACAACUAUAUAUGCUUUUCACAAUUCACAACUGUAUGCACGGUUCGUUGUAACACACAAAGGAAGAAAAGCAUGAUCAAGGCAUAUAUGUACUUCCUCCGUCUCAGUUUACAAGUCCUACGCGUAUACCUAGGUUGUCAAUUUGAUCACCCUAAUAUAAACUAUAUAACACAAAAAUUAUAUCUUUUGGAAAUAGAACAUCUGAAGUUUAUAUUGGUAUAUUUUUUAUAAUAUAUUACUUGUAUUAGGUUGGUCAAAUUGACGAUCUAGGGGUACGUGCAUGCCUUGUAAACUGAGAGAGAGGGAGUACUAAUUUGGUGAAAACAGUUUUAACUGGCAACCUGCAGACCUUAAUUAAUAUAUCUACUUGUCUCACUAUUAUACAUGAAGGAGAAGAAUUAAAGUUGGUCAUAGCUGAAACUGAAAGGGCCUUACUAUAUUUUCUAUGAGUAGCACUUCGAAAUGUGAGUGUUGGAAUUAUAUGAAGAGGGAUGGAGCAUGUUGUUGUGAACGGAUAUGAAGAAUAUGGACUGCAUAGUCAUAAUUGUAGGAAGCAUUCAUUGGAGUGUUUUCUUUUAUACUUCGACACCCACACUACAUAAUCAUUUUGAUAUCCAAUAUAGGAAGAAUUGAAUGCAACUUGUUCAAGUCAAGCAGUCCGUCUAGCUUGCUUACAGCAGCAAAAACUCUACCUCACUGAGCACAACAAAGGAACACAGUAAAACAACACAGCAGACUCUGACAUCACUACCGUGGCUUAUCACAUCAGAGAGUACUAAGUGGGGAAUCAAAGGAAAUAUUAAGUACCAAAACCUUUCGAAAACAAUUUUAUCUCUGGAAGAUUUUCACUAACAUACAAUUUGCAAACUGUUGUUCCAUUCAAAGUAUCUUCGCAUGAUGAGAUUAGGCUUUUAGGCAUGGUUCUGUCAAUGUGAAAUGUAUAGGAAAAAAAAAUUCAAAGCCAUGCCUUUGGUUAAUGCAGCAAGGCAGAAUAAGAAUACAUACAAUGCAGGAUAACUAAAGACCUGGCUUUCAUCAGUUCCUUUCAGCCCUUAUAAUGUUGCUUAUAGAUGGACAUGCACAAAAACGAAUUUUUCUUUGCCAAAUGUUAUCAAUCAAGCCUAUUUAUUGGGAUUUUGUUAUGAAUUCAGGUAGCGGGAGAUUAGAUCAGGAAUUUUCAGGUAUGUGCUUACAUGCCUGCUAGGAAUAACGGGUUGCAGAUUCAAAGGGCGUAGAGGAGGUGAACUACUGCACCACCAGCCUUGCCGUCCUUCCUCCACACAGCAUCCGCCAGCAGCCUCAUGGACGACUACAGCUGUCCGAUAUGCUGCACACUACAGUCGAUUCAUCCGCCAUGGGAGGGCUCCUUCGCCUAGCGCCGCGUGCCGGCCCGCCUGCGCGUCGGGGAAUCGUCGGAUCCGCCCGGAUCCAGGCGCAACGAGGGUCACCGGAGGAGCAGCGAGGCGAGCUCGGGACGGUCAUCCAUGGCGGCCUCCUGGCCUCCUGGCGGCGG